RNAcentral lists this ribosomal RNA (490 nucleotides) under uncultured bacterium. RNAcentral's name for it is "partial 16S ribosomal RNA". It matches the Rfam family "Bacterial small subunit ribosomal RNA", at positions 30 to 507 of the family's 1533-position model. The record is from RNAcentral.
AUUGAACGCUGGCGGCAGGCCUAACACAUGCAAGUCGAACGGUAACAGGAAGCAGCUUGCUGCUUCGCUGACGAGUGGCGGACGGGUGAGUAAUGUCUGGGAAGCUGCCUGAUGGAGGGGGAUAACUACUGGAAACGGUAGCUAAUACCGCAUAAUGUCGCAAGACCAAAGAGGGGGACCUUCGUGCCUCUUGCCAUCGGAUGUGCCCAGAUGGGAUUAGCUUGGUGGUGGGGUAACGGCUCACCAAGGCGACGCUCCCUAGCUGGUCUGAGAGGAUGACCAGCCACACUGGAACUGAGACACGGUCCAGACUCCUCAGGGAGGCAGCAGUGGGGAAUAUUGCACAAUGGGCGCAAGCCUGAUGCAGCCAUGCCGCGUGUAUGAAGAAGGCCUUCGGGUUGUAAAGUACUUUCAGCGGGGAGGAAGGGAGUAAAGUUAAUACCUUUGCUCAUUGACGUUACCCGCAGAAGAAGCACCGGCUAACUCCGUG